Non-coding RNA from Aspergillus fumigatus Af293, 72 nucleotides. The record is from the annotation of a RefSeq genome assembly. Lineage: Eukaryota; Fungi; Ascomycota; Eurotiomycetes; Eurotiales; Aspergillaceae.
UCAUAUUCUUCAGGUGUUUGAAGUACCUGUGGAGUAGAAUUUGCAAUCAACAAAUUUCGAUGGCUCGUCCAU